This is a non-coding RNA of Psammomys obesus (fat sand rat), 387 nucleotides long. The record is from the annotation of a RefSeq genome assembly. Lineage: Eukaryota; Metazoa; Chordata; Mammalia; Rodentia; Muridae.
AGGGGGAGCAAGAUGAAGUCACAGACCCAGGUCCUCAUAUCCCUGCUGCUUUGGGUGUCUGGUGCCUGUGCAGACAUGGUAAUGACACAGUCUCCAUCCUCCCUGGCUGUGUCAGCAGGAGAGAAGGUCAACAUCAGCUGCAGGUCCAGUCAGAGUCUUUAUUACAAAGGUUAUUUAUUACAAAAUAACUUAUUGUCCUGGUACCAGCAGAAACCAGGGCAAUCCCCUAACCUGCUGGUCUACUGGGCAUCCACUCAGCAAACUGGGGUCCCUGAUCGCUUCACAGGCAGUGGAUCUGGGACAGAUUUCACUCUCUCCAUCAGCAGUGUGCAGGCUGAAGACCUGGCAGUUUAUUACUGUCUGCAGAGUGUUAGUACUCCUCCCACA